Molecule: transfer RNA, 76 nt
Filed under: Rattus norvegicus (Norway rat)
Lineage: Eukaryota; Metazoa; Chordata; Mammalia; Rodentia; Muridae
Rfam family: tRNA
About the family: Transfer RNA (tRNA) molecules are approximately 80 nucleotides in length. Their secondary structure includes four short double-helical elements and three loops (D, anti-codon, and T loops).
Source: Rfam by way of RNAcentral
GGGGAUUUAGCUCAGUGGUAGAGCGCUUGCCUAGGAAGCGCAAGGCCCUGGGUUCUGGGUUCGGUCCCCAGCUCCG